GGAUUGUAGCUCAGCGGUAGAGCACUCGCCUAGCACCUGUGAGACCCUGGGUUCUAUCCCUAGCACCA
RNAcentral lists this transfer RNA (68 nucleotides) under Marmota monax (woodchuck). RNAcentral describes it as "tRNA.Ala". The stretch from base 5 to 65 matches the Rfam family "tRNA", at positions 6 to 65 of the family's 71-position model. Rfam says of the family: Transfer RNA (tRNA) molecules are approximately 80 nucleotides in length. Their secondary structure includes four short double-helical elements and three loops (D, anti-codon, and T loops). Lineage: Eukaryota; Metazoa; Chordata; Mammalia; Rodentia; Sciuridae. The record is from RNAcentral.